GGGGAUUUAGCUCAGUGGUAGAGCGCUUGCCUAGAAAGCGUAAGGCCCUGGGUUCGGUCCCCAGCUCA
Molecule: transfer RNA, 68 nt
Filed under: Rattus norvegicus (Norway rat)
Lineage: Eukaryota; Metazoa; Chordata; Mammalia; Rodentia; Muridae
Rfam family: tRNA
About the family: Transfer RNA (tRNA) molecules are approximately 80 nucleotides in length.
Source: Rfam by way of RNAcentral